Molecule: ribosomal RNA, 390 nt
Filed under: Psyllopsis fraxinicola
Lineage: Eukaryota; Metazoa; Arthropoda; Insecta; Hemiptera; Liviidae
Description: partial small subunit ribosomal RNA
Source: RNAcentral
UGUUAGGUCAAGGUGCAGUUUUUAAAAGUUAUAAUGGGUUACAAAUUUUACUAUGAAUGAAUUAUUAAUUUGUGUGUAAUUAUGAAAUCGGAUUUGAAAGUAAAUAGUUUAUUUUAAGUAAUAAAUGAAUUUAGAUUCUAAAAUAUGUACACAUUGCCCGUCACUCUUGCAUAAAGUAAGACAAGUCGUAACAUAGUAGGUGUACCGGAAGGUGUACCUGGAAUUGGAAGUAAAUAGCUAAAUAAGUAUAUUUUUUACACUAAUAUGAUAUCAAUAAGAUUUUACUUAUAUUUUAAUUUUUUGAGUUAUAAAUGUUAAAUAUUAAAUUAAUUUCGUCUGUGAGGGGAAUUGUAUUUAAAAUAUAAUAUAAUGUGUAAUUACAGUACCUUU